RNAcentral lists this ribosomal RNA (253 nucleotides) under uncultured bacterium. Its description in RNAcentral is "partial 16S ribosomal RNA". It matches the Rfam family "Bacterial small subunit ribosomal RNA", at positions 524 to 776 of the family's 1533-position model. The record is from RNAcentral.
UACGAAGGGGGCUAGCGUUGUUCGGAUUUACUGGGCGUAAAGCGCACGUAGGCGGGUCGUUAAGUCGGGGGUGAAAUCCUGGAGCUCAACUCCAGAACUGCCUUCGAUACUGGCGACCUAGAGUCCGGAAGAGGUGAGUGGAACUCCUAGUGUAGAGGUGGAAUUCGUAGAUAUUGGGAAGAACACCGAUGGCGAAGGCAGCCAUCUGGACCGACACUGACGCUGAGGCGCGAAAGCGUGGGGAGCAAACAGG